Molecule: long non-coding RNA, 885 nt
Filed under: Felis catus (domestic cat)
Lineage: Eukaryota; Metazoa; Chordata; Mammalia; Carnivora; Felidae
Description: lncRNA (ENSFCAG00000049212.1)
Source: RNAcentral
GGGUCCGCCUGGCAGCCUACGAGAAGAGGCGGGAGCGGGAAAGGAGGGGAGCCGAGGCCCGGCGUGGGGAGGCCGGCAGCAAGGGCUGCGAGCCCUGCGCGGACCUUUCUUCAGCCUCCACGCGGCCCGGCGGAGCGCUAGGUUACUGCGCCGCGAGGACGUCCGGACUUCCUCAGACCGGGACUCGACGGGAGCAGAAAAAGCGAGACCCGUACUUGGGGCGCGCCCCCGAGCCCGGGGCUCCGGCGGGACCGCUGCGACCCCGCCCCCCCCGGCCCGGGACCCCGCCGUGGGAAAGCCCAGCUGGCGGGACGCGGCGUGGAACUGCAGGGGAGGCCUGAGCUCCCGGCGUCGGGAGGCGGCGGAGGAGUUCACUGUUGAGCGGUGCUUUGUUUGCAGUCAAACUCGUUGCAGAGUUCUCAGAAUUCCCCCUCGGAGAAGCGGAAAGUUGGGGAAGUGCAAGCUGGUUACCCAGACGGCGGGUGGGCUGAGCAUCGCUUGGCGGGGUGCAGGCCGGGACGGGAACUCAGCGGAGGGGCGGAGUUGUCCGGAAGAAACCUUAAGACGUCCUGGCCCGACAGCUACCUGCUCCACAGGAGGGAAAGAAGGGUCCGACCGAACUUGAGCACCGCGGCAGAAUCCGGGCUGGAGCUCAGCUCGCAGGCCCACCACCGGCUUCCUUUCCCUUCACCAAGUUUGCAGCCUGGAGGAGAGCCUACGGCACAUCUGAAGAGGGAGAAGCCAUCUUGCCUCUAUGACUAGACAGGCAUGAGGAUAAAAUCUCUGUGAGGAUAAUGGAACAAAGUUGUAGGAGGGGCCUAGAGUCCCUUCCUUUAGACUUCUUGUUAUGUGAGGAAAAUAAAAUGCUACUACAAGGUUAAGCCA